RNAcentral lists this ribosomal RNA (490 nucleotides) under uncultured bacterium. Its description in RNAcentral is "bacterial SSU rRNA". It matches the Rfam family "Bacterial small subunit ribosomal RNA", at positions 903 to 1397 of the family's 1533-position model. The record is from RNAcentral.
AAAUGAAUUGACGGGGACCCGCACAAGCAGCGGAGCAUGUGGUUUAAUUCGAAGCAACGCGAAGAACCUUACCAGGGCUUGACAUCCCUCUGACAGGGCCUUAACCGGCCCCUUCUUCGGACAGAGGUGACAGGUGGUGCAUGGUUGUCGUCAGCUCGUGUCGUGAGAUGUUGGGUUAAGUCCCGCAACGAGCGCAACCCUUGUCGCUAGUUACUAACAUUCAGUUGAGGACUCUAGCGAGACUGCCGAGGUCAACUCGGAGGAAGGUGGGGAUGACGUCAAAUCAUCAUGCCCCUUAUGUUCUGGGCUACACACGUGCUACAAUGGCCGGUACAAUGAGAUGCAAAAUGGCGACAUGGAGCGAAUCACCAAAACCGGUCCCAGUUCGGAUUGCAGGCUGAAACUCGCCUGCAUGAAGUUGGAGUUGCUAGUAAUCGCGGAUCAGAAUGCCGCGGUGAAUGCGUUCCCGGGUCUUGUACACACCGCCCGU